GAGACAAGGCAGAAACGGCUUCCCUGGGACCCAGAGAGCCCACAGGGCUUUUCCUACUGCUUCCUCUACCCUUGUAUUUCGCAUGGCUCCUUAAAUUGUCUCAGCUUCAGUGGCAGGAAGGGGCACAGUGUGCAGCUAUUUCCUGUGGUGUUCUUCAAAGCAGCUGAGGUCCUUAUGGUUCCAGCAAGCAGCCCCCUGCAAGUUUCUUCUUCCCCGCAGUGGUGAAUAGCGUGUUCCUGCAGGAGUCACGCCUUCCCAUCAGAGCAUUGAUCACAGACCUUACAGGACCUCCUCCAGAUUUCCAAGUUCCUUCCUUGUUCUUCUCUCAGCCCUACAGGUGUUCUCUGCAGUUGUUCCCUCUUCUACACCUUUUAAAAGUUAUCUACCUUGUGCAUAGUUAACAACUCCUUCUAUCAAAUGUUCUCUAUUGAAGUCACUCCACUGGUUUCUGCCUCUCCACUAGAUCUUGACUAGGCUCCCUAUUUUAUUCUCCCCAAAAUACACUCUUUAUUUUAUUCUCCAGAGAGUAGCCAGAGUGACUUAUUUUUUCAUUUGGGUCCCACUGAUUAAGAGAAUGAAAAAUAGGCUCUAAGAUGCAUGAAUCUCCAUUCCCUGCUGAUACAUUUCUGUGGUUUCCCAAUGCACUUGGAAUAAAAGCUAAACUCUAUCUUAGCCUCAAGACCUCUAUCCAACUUCCCAAAUUUAUCUGACUUUCUUGUCCUAUCUCACAGUACUCCGACACUGUGCUAGAUGUGAUGGUUUCCUGCUGGGAUGGUUGGUUUAAUGUGUCAACUUGGCUAGGUCAUAGUACCCAGUUAUUUAAUCAAACACUAACAUGGAUCUAGCUGUGAAAGUAUUGUGUAGAUGUGGUUAGCAUCUACAAUCAGUUGACUUUAGGUAGAAGGAGAUUACCCUCAAUUAUGUGUGUGGGCCUUAGCCAAUCAGUUCGAAAGCCUUAAACGCAACAAAACUGAGGUUUCCUGGGCGAGGAAAUUCUGCCUUAAGACUACAGCAAUAGCCGGGAACAGUGGCUCACGCCUGUAAUC
This 1046-nucleotide long non-coding RNA is filed under the name Homo sapiens (human). RNAcentral's name for it is "HSALNT0109749". The record is from RNAcentral. Lineage: Eukaryota; Metazoa; Chordata; Mammalia; Primates; Hominidae.